RNAcentral lists this ribosomal RNA (257 nucleotides) under uncultured bacterium. Its description in RNAcentral is "partial 16S ribosomal RNA". It matches the Rfam family "Bacterial small subunit ribosomal RNA", at positions 524 to 776 of the family's 1533-position model. The record is from RNAcentral.
UACGGAGGGUGCAAGCGUUUAUCCGGAUUCACUGGGUUUAAAGGGAGCGUAGGUGGCUUUGUAAGUCAGUGGUGAAAUCUUAGAGCUUAACUCUAAAAACUGCCAUUGAUACUGCUUAGCUUGAAUCACGUCGAGGUGGAUGGAAUAUUACAUGUAGCGGUGAAAUGCUUAGAUAUGUAAUAGAACACCGAUUGCGAAGGCAGUUCACUAGGCGUGUAUUGACACUGAGGCUCGAAAAGCGUGGGGGAUCAAACAGG